GCGAUAAACAAAAUUUGUUGGUGAAUUUGUUAGUAAUUAUUGACAGACAAAUUCUGUUAAUAAAUCCAUUAGUAAAAAGUGCAAAAAUUUCCUACCCACUUUUCUCUCUUUUCACGAGCUACGUUUUUUCUUUCUCUCUUUCUCACGUGAGGUCUUCAUUUUCUUGUCUCACGUGAGGCAACCCUAUCUUCCCACAUUUCUCCCAUCUCAACUUAAACCACCACUCGGAGCAUUUUUGCACGCCACAAUCUCUUUUUUCAAGCACAUAUAAUCAUCACAUGUGACAAAGGGAGAACGUCUUUGUUGCGAAACCCAGAAGGAGUUAUGUAGGAAUGAUGAAAGAGCAGCAUAGAUAUUGAAUUGACCAUAUAUGUGUUUCAAAACUUACAAGAAAGAACAAAAUCCCAUGGUUGGAAUUUCUUGAUUAGCAUGGUCGUGGCCUGGUGUGCUGUUG
Molecule: long non-coding RNA, 454 nt
Filed under: Vigna radiata
Lineage: Eukaryota; Viridiplantae; Streptophyta; Magnoliopsida; Fabales; Fabaceae
Description: long non-coding RNA (VRAD_LNC000363)
Source: RNAcentral